GAUGAACGCUGGCGGCGUGCCUAAUACAUGCAAGUCGAGCGAACGGACGCGAAGCUUGCUUCUCUGAUGUUAGCGGCGGACGGGUGAGUAACACGUGGAUAACCUACCUAUAAGACUGGGAUAACUUCGGGAAACCGGAGCUAAUACCGGAUAAUAUUUUGAACCGCAUGGUUCAAAAGUGAAAGACGGUCUUGCUGUCACUUAUAGAUGGAUCCGCGCUGCAUUAGCUAGUUGGUAAGGUAACGGCUUAUCAAGGCAACGAUGCAUAGCCGACCUGGGGGGGUGGUCGGCCACACUGGAACGGAGACACGGUCCAGACUCCUACGGGAGGCAGCAGUAGGGAAUCGUCCGCAAUGGGCGAAAGCCUGACGGAGCAACGCGGCGUGAUUGAUGAAGGUCCUCGGGUCGGAAAACUCUGUUAUUAGGGAAGAACAUAUGUGUAAGUAACUGUGCACAUCUUGACGGUACCUAAUCAGAAAGCCACGGCUAACUACGUG
This 497-nucleotide ribosomal RNA is filed under the name uncultured bacterium. RNAcentral's name for it is "partial 16S ribosomal RNA". It matches the Rfam family "Bacterial small subunit ribosomal RNA", at positions 28 to 507 of the family's 1533-position model. The record is from RNAcentral.